This 1119-nucleotide ribosomal RNA is filed under the name Promicromonospora sp. RNAcentral's name for it is "bacterial SSU rRNA". It matches the Rfam family "Bacterial small subunit ribosomal RNA", at positions 325 to 1457 of the family's 1533-position model. The record is from RNAcentral. Lineage: Bacteria; Bacillati; Actinomycetota; Actinomycetes; Micrococcales; Promicromonosporaceae.
ACCGGCCCCAAUUUCUCGGGAGGCAGCAGUGGGGAAUAUUUCACAAUGGGCGAAAGCCUGAUGAAGGGCCGCCACUGAGGGAUGACGCCUUCGGGUUGUAAACCUCUUUCAGCAGGGAAGAAGCGAAAGUGACGGUACCUGCAGAAGAAGCGCCGGCUAACUACGUGCCAGCAGCCGCGGUAAUACGUAGGGCGCCAGCGUUGUCCGGAAUUAUUGGGCGUAAAGAGCUCGUAGGCGGUCUGUCGCGUCUGGUGUGAAAUCCCAUGGCUCAACUGUGGGCUUGCAUCGGGUACGGGCAGACUAGAGUACUGUAGGGGAGACUGGAAUUCCUGGUGUAGCGGUGGAAUGCGCAGAUAUCAGGAGGAACACCGAUGGCGAAGGCAGGUCUCUGGGCAGUUACUGACGCUGAGGAGCGAAAGCAUGGGGAGCGAACAGGAUUAGAUACCCUGGUAGUCCAUGCCGUAAACGUUGGGCACUAGGUGUGGGGCCAGUUCCACUGGUUCUGUGCCGUAGCUAACGCAUUAAGUGCCCCGCCUGGGGAGUACGGCCGCAAGGCUAAAACUCAAAGGAAUUGACGGGGGCCCGCACAAGCGGCGGAGCAUGCGGAUUAAUUCGAUGCAACGCGAAGAACCUUACCAAGGCUUGACAUGUACGAGAAAGCCCCAGAGAUGGGGUUCUCUUUGGACACUCGUACACAGGUGGUGCAUGGUUGUCGUCAGCUCGUGUCGUGAGAUGUUGGGUUAAGUCCCGCAACGAGCGCAACCCUUAUCCUAUGUUGCCAGCGGGUUAUGCCGGGGACUCAUGGGAGACUGCCGGGGUCAACUCGGAGGAAGGUGGGGAUGACGUCAAAUCAUCAUGCCCCUUAUGUCUUGGGCUUCACGCAUGCUACAAUGGCCGGUACAGAGGGCUGCGAUACCGUGAGGUGGAGCGAAUCCCAAAAAGCCGGUCUCAGUUCGGAUCGGGGUCUGCAACUCGACCCCGUGAAGUCGGAGUCGCUAGUAAUCGCAGAUCAGCAACGCUGCGGUGAAUACGUUCCCGGGCCUUGUACACACCGCCCGUCAAGUCACGAAAGUUGGUAACACCCGAAGCUCACGGCCCAACCCCUGUGGGAGGGAGGUC